This 92-nucleotide transfer RNA is filed under the name Salmonella enterica subsp. enterica serovar Dublin str. CT_02021853. RNAcentral describes it as "tRNA-Ser". It matches the Rfam family "tRNA". From Rfam's summary of the family: Transfer RNA (tRNA) molecules are approximately 80 nucleotides in length. Their secondary structure includes four short double-helical elements and three loops (D, anti-codon, and T loops). Lineage: Bacteria; Pseudomonadati; Pseudomonadota; Gammaproteobacteria; Enterobacterales; Enterobacteriaceae. The record is from RNAcentral. RNAcentral also lists the same sequence under 1 other name.
CGGAGAGAUGCCGGAGCGGCUGAACGGACCGGUCUCGAAAACCGUUGCGGGGGUAACUCCGCCGAGGGUUCGAAUCCCUCUCUCUCCGCCAC